GACGAACGCUGGCGGCGUGCCUAAUACAUGCAAGUCGAACGAAACUUCUUUAUCAUCGAGUGCUUGCACUCACCGAUAAAGAGUUGAGUGGCGAACGGGUGAGUAACACGUGGGCAACCUGCCCGAAAGAGGGGGAUAACACUUGGAAACAGGUGCUAAUACCGCAUAACCAUGAACACCGCAUGGUGUUCAUGGGAAAGGUGGUUUCGGCUACCGCCUUCGGAUGGGCACGCGGCGCAUUAGCUAGUUGGUGGGGUAAAGGCUUACCAAGGCAAGUAUGCGUAGCCGAACUGAGAGGUUGAUCGGCCACAUUGGGACUGAGACACGGCCCAAACUCCUACGGGAGGCAGCAGUAGGGAAUCUUCCACAACGGGCGAAAGCCUGAUGGAGCAACGCCGCGUGGGUGAAGAAGGUCUUCGGAUCGUAAAACCCUGUUGUCAGAGAAGAAAGUGCAUGAGAGUAACUGUUCAUGUUUCGACGGUAUCUGACCAGAAAGCCACGGCUAACUACGUGCCAGCAGCCGCAGUAA
RNAcentral lists this ribosomal RNA (529 nucleotides) under uncultured bacterium. RNAcentral describes it as "partial 16S ribosomal RNA". It matches the Rfam family "Bacterial small subunit ribosomal RNA", at positions 28 to 523 of the family's 1533-position model. The record is from RNAcentral.